GUGUCAGCAGCCGCGGUAAUACGGAGGGUGCGAGCGUUGUCCGGAAUCAUUGGGUGUAAAGGGUGCGUAGGCGGGUUGCUAAGUCUGGGGUGAAAUCCUGCCGCUUAACGGUAGAAUGGCCCCCGAUACUGGCAGUCUUGAGUACAGAAGAGGUCGGUGGAAUUCGUAGUGUAGCGGUGAAAUGCAUAGAUAUUACGAAGAACACCAGUGGCGAAGGCGGCCGGCUGGUCUGUAACUGACGCUGAGGCACGAAAGCGUGGGGAGCGAACAGGAUUAGAUACCCUGGUAGUCCACGCUGUAAACGAUGUAUGCUAGGUGUCGGCCUUUCGGGGUCGGUGCUGCAGUUAACGCAGUAAGCAUACCACCUGGGGAGUACGUCGGCAACGAUGAAACUUAAAUGAAUUGACGGGG
This 411-nucleotide ribosomal RNA is filed under the name uncultured prokaryote. Its description in RNAcentral is "bacterial SSU rRNA". It matches the Rfam family "Bacterial small subunit ribosomal RNA", at positions 505 to 918 of the family's 1533-position model. The record is from RNAcentral.